RNAcentral lists this ribosomal RNA (423 nucleotides) under uncultured bacterium. RNAcentral's name for it is "bacterial SSU rRNA". It matches the Rfam family "Bacterial small subunit ribosomal RNA", at positions 355 to 774 of the family's 1533-position model. The record is from RNAcentral.
UGAGGAAUAUUGGACAAUGGAUGGAAAUCUGAUCCAGCCAUGCCGCGUGCAGGAAGACGGCCCUAUGGGUUGUAAACUGCUUUUGUAUGGGAGCAAUAAGGACUACGUGUAGUUUGAUGAGAGUACCAUACGAAUAAGCAUCGGCUAACUCCGUGCCAGCAGCCGCGGUAAUACGGAGGAUCCGAGCGUUAUCCGGAUUUAUUGGGUUUAAAGGGUGCGUAGGCGGAAAGAUAAGUCAGCCUGUGAAAGUUUGCGGCUCAACCGUAAAAUUGCAGUUGAUACUGUUUUUCUUGAGUGUACAUAAGGUAGGCGGAAUUCGUGGUGUAGCGGUGAAAUGCUUAGAUAUCACGAAGAACUCCGAUUGCGAAGGCAGCUUACCGGGGUACAACUGACGCUGAUGCACGAAAGUGUGGGUAUCAAACA